ACAGCAGCCGCCGCGGGAAUACAGAGGGUGCGAGCGUUAAUCGGAUUUACUGGGCGUAAAGCGUGCGUAGGCGGCUUCUUAAGUCGGAUGUGAAAUCCCUGAGCUUAACUUAGGAAUUGCAUUCGAUACUGGGAAGCUAGAGUAUGGGAGAGGAUGGUAGAAUUCCAGGUGUAGCGGUGAAAUGCGUAGAGAUCUGGAGGAAUACCGAUGGCGAAGGCAGCCAUCUGGCCUAAUACUGACGCUGAGGUACGAAAGCAUGGGGAGCAAACAGGAUUAGAGACCCCGUAGUCCCUGUCUCUUAUACA
RNAcentral lists this ribosomal RNA (305 nucleotides) under uncultured bacterium. Its description in RNAcentral is "partial 16S ribosomal RNA". It matches the Rfam family "Bacterial small subunit ribosomal RNA", at positions 508 to 808 of the family's 1533-position model. The record is from RNAcentral.